Molecule: ribosomal RNA, 810 nt
Filed under: uncultured bacterium
Lineage: Bacteria
Description: bacterial SSU rRNA
Rfam family: Bacterial small subunit ribosomal RNA
Source: RNAcentral
GGCGAACGGGUGAGUAACACGUGAGUAACCUGCCCUUGACUUCGGGAUAAGCCUGGGAAACCGGGUCUAAUACCGGAUACAACGGACCACCGCAUGGCGGUCCGUGGAAAGCUUUAUGCGGUUUUGGAUGGACUCGCGGCCUAUCAGCUUGUUGGUUGGGGUAAUGGCCCACCAAGGCGACGACGGGUAGCCGGCCUGAGAGGGUGACCGGCCACACUGGGACUGAGACACGGCCCAGACUCCUACGGGAGGCAGCAGUGGGGAAUAUUGCACAAUGGGCGGAAGCCUGAUGCAGCGACGCCGCGUGAGGGACGAAUGCCUUCGGGUUGUAAACCUCUUUCAGCAGGGAAGAAGCGAAAGUGACGGUACCUGCAGAAGAAGCGCCGGCUAACUACGUGCCAGCAGCCGCGGUAAUACGUAGGGCGCAAGCGUUAUCCGGAAUUAUUGGGCGUAAAGAGCUCGUAGGCGGUUUGUCGCGUCUGCUGUGAAAGCCCGGGGCUCAACCCCGGGUCUGCAGUGGGUACGGGCAGACUAGAGUGAUGUAGGGGAGACUGGAAUUCCUGGUGUAGCGGUGAAAUGCGCAGAUAUCAGGAGGAACACCGAUGGCGAAGGCAGGUCUCUGGGCAUUAACUGACGCUGAGGAGCGAAAGCAUGGGGAGCGAACAGGAUUAGAUACCCUGGUAGUCCAUGCCGUAAACGUUGGGCACUAGGUGUGGGGGGACAUUCCACGUUUUCCGCGCCGUAGCUAACGCAUUAAGUGCCCCGCCUGGGGAGUACGGCCGCAAGGCUAAAACUCAAAGGAAUUGACGG